Molecule: non-coding RNA, 193 nt
Filed under: uncultured Johnsonella sp.
Lineage: Bacteria; Bacillati; Bacillota; Clostridia; Lachnospirales; Lachnospiraceae
Source: RNAcentral
AUAACUGUUAUUGCGAUAGGUGGAAUGAGAGGGUAACGCCUUGAAACGCCUGCUCAAAGAAACGCCAUGCAAAAGGGAGAUAAUGCCUCUGAUGUAUGAAGUGCGUUAAGAUGUCCAGUGUCCGCCCUAACAAGUAAUGUUGAGGAAAACCGAACUAGAGGUAGUCGAGCGGUAUAGGGCUAGAGUCUAUAAA